Molecule: ribosomal RNA, 253 nt
Filed under: uncultured bacterium
Lineage: Bacteria
Description: partial 16S ribosomal RNA
Rfam family: Bacterial small subunit ribosomal RNA
Source: RNAcentral
UACAGAGGUCUCAAGCGUUGUUCGGAUUCAUUGGGCGUAAAGGGUGCGUAGGUGGCGGGGCAAGUCAGGUGUGAAAUCUCGGGGCUCAACCCCGAAACUGCACUUGAUACUGCCUUGCUCGAGUACUGGAGAGGAGACUGGAAUUUACGGUGUAGCAGUGAAAUGCGUAGAUAUCAGGAGGAACACCAAUGGCGAAGGCAGCUCGCUGGGACGUGACUGACGCUGAGACGCGAAAGCGUGGGGAGCAAACAGG